GACGAACGCUGGCGGCGUGCUUAACACAUGCAAGUCGAACGGGUCUGCCCUGUUUUUUGCGGGGUGGGUCAGUGGCGAACGGGUGAGUAACACGUGAGUAACCUUCCCCUCACUUCUGGAUAACCGCUUGAAAGGGUGGCUAAUACGGGGUGUUCUUGCUGUGCCGCAUGGUGUGGCUGGGAAAGAUUCACUUUUGUGGUGUUUUGGUGGGGGAUGGGCUCGCGGCCUAUCAGCUUGUUGGUGGGGUGAUGGCCUGCCAAGGCUUUGACGGGUAGCCGGCCUGGGAGGGUGGGCGGUCACACUGGGACUGAGGUACGGCCCAGAAGCCUGCGGGAGGCAGCAGUGGGGGGUAGUGCACGAUGGGCGGAAGCCUGAUGCAGCGACGUCGCGUGAGGGAUGGAGGCCUUCGGGUUGUGAAACUCUUUCGCCGGUGAAGAAGGUCCUGCUCUUUGUGGUGGGGUUGACGGUAGCCGGGUUAUGAAGCGCCGGCUAACUACGUG
RNAcentral lists this ribosomal RNA (500 nucleotides) under uncultured bacterium. RNAcentral describes it as "partial 16S ribosomal RNA". It matches the Rfam family "Bacterial small subunit ribosomal RNA", at positions 28 to 507 of the family's 1533-position model. The record is from RNAcentral.